UACCGAAAUUAUUUGAUGGGAGUGGGACUGGGACUAACUCUUAAAUAUUUCGUGCCCCUUUUCGGCUUUUCCGCCAUUUCUCCUGUAGACAUGUGGUCACCAUCAUGCUGUGAUAGGCUUAAUUUUGAAUACGACUUGUUCUACUGGAUAGUUGAGUUUAUCUACUUAUUUUCACAUUGUUAAUGUCAUUUAAUGUUUUCCGACUAAAACUUGUCUUCCAGAUAAGCUGGGGAAAAUCCGAUCCAACUUCGCUCGUAUCACGUGGAGCCAGAUGAAAUUUGGAAACUGGUUUGUAAAUCAGUGGAAACCACAAUGUUAGUAUUGCUGAGGCUGUUAGCUUUUGUUCAUCUACACAUUAUCGAUUGAUGGGAUUCACAAGAACAAUUUCUUGCCUGAACAGAAAGUAUUUUCGAUAAAUUUUCAUACAGUUUUAUAAUCCAUCCAUUUUUAGUUGUUUUUCUGAUCACCAAGCAGAACAUGUUUGUACAGCAAAUUCUAUAUUUGUGUUUCCAAUGCAGUUCAUGGUUAAAAGGAAGUAUAUUUCUUUUGUUUUCCUAGAUGUAAGUGGCUACUGAUCUGAAAGCCAUGAAAUUAUUAAAGUGUAAAGAUCUUGGCAUACAAUGACUGAAAUUCCUGAUAAUACCGUAAAUAUUUUAAGUUUACACUAUUUUUUGAAUAAUAAUGAAGCAUUCACAAUUGCAGAUUAUGGCAGUCCUGAAUGGUUCCUUGCUAGAUUAAAUGGUCAUAUGAUAGAUAUAAAAAAUUACAUUUGAAUAUAGUAAGUAAGAUCUGGAAUGUGUGCUAAGGCUAACUUGGACUAUUGUAAUGCCUUCAAAUUUUAUAAAUCCCUAAUGUAAACUAUGGACUUCACCAGAUAACGAUGCCUGUCCGAAACCAUUAGGUUUGGUCCAUAUUUUAGUAGUCCAUUUUGGACUGUCGCAAGUCCAUAGUUUAGUAACACCCGGCAACAGAGUCUGUUGCCGGGUGUUAAAGGGCCAAAAACAAAGAAUCGCCCGUGUCUGAAUUACAUGUUUUGGAACUGGAGUUAAUUUUUAGUGAUCUCCUGGAUGGAAGCAUGUUGCAGAUGGAAAAAGAUUCGUGUUUCAAUUGGAUUAUGUCGCAUCGUCAUCAUAAACCCCACAUCCAAGAUUCCAUAAAGGAUCGCAAUGCAGUCUCCAGCAAAUCUGUGAUACAAAACAAUUUCUAUCUAUCAUAUUUUUGAUGUUUUACAUUCUUUUCAAUUAAUUUUACAUGUUUUUGGGAAAUCAGGUGUGAUAUUUUGGCCAAUUUGAUUUUUACAAGCAGAACAUUUGGUACAAUCAAGGAAGGAUGAGGCAUGAAAAAAGGACAAUCAGAUUGCAGAAUGUACUUGCAUAACAUACAACCUAAUGGAAUUCUGUUACAUUAAGUGCAUAUUCACACAGAAGCUUCUGGCUGAGAAGAGUGUUGGAUUUUAAGACACAUUCAACAUGCAGACCAAAUCCCAUAUUAUCCAAUGCAUUCAUCCUCAUUUGGUAACUUUCUCUUCUCUGGUUUAAUCAAAAUCUUUUUCAUAUGUGAUGAAAAUAUGAAACAUGUGGAAAUGCCAAAACUAGGGUAAAAUAAACUAGUUUCAGUUUA
Molecule: long non-coding RNA, 1620 nt
Organism: Daphnia magna
Lineage: Eukaryota; Metazoa; Arthropoda; Branchiopoda; Diplostraca; Daphniidae
Exons: 2
Source: RefSeq, a predicted model, not a curated record